Molecule: transfer RNA, 72 nt
Filed under: Leptotrombidium deliense
Lineage: Eukaryota; Metazoa; Arthropoda; Arachnida; Trombidiformes; Trombiculidae
Description: tRNA-Ala for anticodon AGC
Rfam family: tRNA
About the family: Transfer RNA (tRNA) molecules are approximately 80 nucleotides in length. Their secondary structure includes four short double-helical elements and three loops (D, anti-codon, and T loops). Further hydrogen bonds mediate the characteristic L-shaped molecular structure. tRNAs have two regions of fundamental functional importance: the anti-codon, which is responsible for specific mRNA codon recognition, and the 3' end, to which the tRNAs corresponding amino acid is attached (by aminoacyl-tRNA synthetases). tRNAs cope with the degeneracy of the genetic code in two manners: having more than one tRNA (with a specific anti-codon) for a particular amino acid; and 'wobble' base-pairing, i.e. permitting non-standard base-pairing at the 3rd anti-codon position.
Source: Rfam by way of RNAcentral
GGGGGUGUGGCUCAGUGGUAGAGCGUUUGCCUAGCAUGGGGGAGGCCCUGGGUUCGAUUCUCAGCACCGCAU